RNAcentral lists this long non-coding RNA (789 nucleotides) under Carassius auratus (goldfish). Its description in RNAcentral is "lncRNA (ENSCARG00000062081.1)". The record is from RNAcentral. Lineage: Eukaryota; Metazoa; Chordata; Actinopteri; Cypriniformes; Cyprinidae.
AAGGUUUUUUUUUUGUCAGACCCAAGAAGACAAAGACCGAAUAGUGUCAAGCCUGGGAGACUGGAUUGCUGACUGUGGUGUGCCUGGAAUUUUCAGUGCAGCACCUAAUAUGAGACGGAUCUAUGGUCAGCUAAUCAAACACCACAUUUACUUCAGUUUGGAAAUCUCUUGGAACAUAUUUAUUUUAGAACAGCAGACAUGAUCGCCCAAUUCAAGGAAGGCAUGAACUCCUGUAGCAACUUCUGGCAGAUUGUCGAAAAAAACUGGAAGGUCUUCCUUCCCUUGUUCACAAAUGAGGAGAAACAAUUAACAAGAGAUGAAUUUAGAGCCCUAUUCACCAUUUGCUGGAGUGAGGAGGGAAGCAAUCUCAGGGAAAAGGAGGAAGACACCAUAUUUUGCUGGGAGCUCCUGCUGAAUUCAAUUCAGGAAAAACAAUCAACAAUCACCUUCCAGGAGAUGCUGGUAUUUAUUACUGGGGCAGACAGCAUUCCCACACUGGGCUUCCCCGGAGAACCGAGAAUUGAGUUUUACACUCAAGAAAAUCGCCGGCUUCCAUUUGCAUCAACUUGUGGCAUGGUGCUCUUUUUGCCUCGAGGCAUCCAAGAAGAGGAAGAGUUGACUGAUCUGCUUAACACAGCACUCAAAGGUUACCUUGGAUUUGGAAAAAUGUAAUUUAGUUAAUUUCGUCAAAUGUUAAUUAAAGGGAUAGUUGACCCUUAAAAUAAUUUUCUGUCAUUAAUUACUCACCCUCAUGUUGUUCCAAACCCACCCAUAAAAGUUUUGUGAACC